CAGGAUGUCGCUGGCUCUUGGGAAAGAAGACAGAUAAAGAUAAAAAGAGACCGAAUACGAUUCCUGUAUUCGGUCCAGGGAAAUGGCUCUUGGGAGAGAGCCGUGCGCUAAAAGUUGGCAUUAAUGCAGGCUAAGUCGCCUUGCACUAUAAGAAUAGUUUAACGCGUCAGCUUUUCCAGUCCGCGGCCAAAGUGGCUGCAUAAUUCCUGGAAAGGGGGCCUCUGCCAGCGAAAAAACCGCCACUGCCGUUGUCCGGCA
RNAcentral lists this small RNA (258 nucleotides) under Klebsiella pneumoniae DMC0799. Lineage: Bacteria; Pseudomonadati; Pseudomonadota; Gammaproteobacteria; Enterobacterales; Enterobacteriaceae. The record is from RNAcentral. RNAcentral also lists the same sequence under 1 other name.